CCUCAAAUGUGGAGCACUAUUCUGAUGUCGAAGUGGAAAGUGCUGCGACAUUUGAGCGUCAC
Mandrillus leucophaeus (drill) is the source of this 62-nucleotide microRNA precursor. NCBI's taxonomy places the organism in Eukaryota, Metazoa, Chordata, Mammalia, Primates, Cercopithecidae. The record is from Ensembl.